UCUUCAAAAUUUCAUUCAUUUUUACUAUUAAAAACUGGUUUGACUGACAGAAUAAUUAUACAAUUACACGUGGCAGGCCAUGUGUGACUUAUUUUGAAGUAUAGUGAUUAGUUUUUUAACAAUAGAAAUUGAUGAAAUUUUCAAAA
Non-coding RNA from Gossypium arboreum, 146 nucleotides. NCBI's taxonomy places the organism in Eukaryota, Viridiplantae, Streptophyta, Magnoliopsida, Malvales, Malvaceae. The record is from Rfam.